CAGGGAUGUAGCUCUUGGAGGGAGAGGCUGGCCUUUGGGUGGAGCUGGGAUCAUGACAAGAGAUACAAUUGCAUAAAUGUUUCGAGGCUGAAGUCUCUGAAAGCCCCAGAUCAGCCACGAAGACCAGAAGCCGUCUUUUAAAAAAAAAUGCAAGAAGAAAUUCUCAUGUACUCCCAGGAUUCCAGGAAUUGGAGCUUCAGAGAAACAGCCGCUGUUGUAAGAAUGUGUAAGGCACAGAACGGACCCUUAGAAUGAACUGAUGGAGCCCAGCAGCAUCACUGCAAUCCACAAAAGGGGGAAGGAUUCUAUAGAAAUGAGCAACUGGUCAGCCAGUGUGGGUGGAAAUUCAUUGCAGUAUUGGAGGCUUGCGCAAGCAUGAAGGGGAGUGAGGAGGUGGACAGGGUGUCGCUAGGCUGGCCUUGUUCUGGGGUGCAUCACCUGUGCUUUAGAUCUGUGACUAGCCAUAAUGGAAAGGCAUGCUCUGCUGGUUGUUUCUCAUGUGUAUUUGCAUCACAGGGCUGGUGCAUCCUUCUUGCAACUCACAGCUAGAAUGGAGCCAGGAUCAGAGCUGCACCUGCCAUGUCAUGUCUCUUAGAAGCACAUGCAGAAAGCAAAGCUUCCUGCUUGCUGUGAGAGCCACUGGCAGUCUGUAGAUAUCAGUUCCCGUUAGUUCUAGAUGCAGGGUUGGACUCUCUUUUUGUCCUCUCUGCUGAUGUGUCUAGAUGGGGCUCUGGCAUAGCGAAUACAAGCAGCUUUAGGUGCCAUUGGGAUUAAAAUAGAACAGCUCAGAGCAAACCUGUCUUGCCUGUGCAUCAGACAGAGCUUCAGUGACUGUGAACUGUGCAAAUGCUACUGGGGGCAAGCUUAGACAAGCCACUUUUGACAUGACUGCUGUGCAUUGCAUCAGCUUCAGCCCUGGGCUCACUCUUCUGGGUCACAAAGAGGAUCUUCUGUAGCUCAGACACUUGUUUUGAGGGGCAAUUUCAAACAUUGCUCAUUUGGGGCUGUGUUUUGUAAGGCUGGGAACUCCUGGGAUCUGAUUUAGUAAGGCACCAAUGCAGUAGGGCACCUUCUACACUUCUGAGCAUUCCUCAUGACUUAAGAGGACAAGCAUAGGUUGAUAAGCUUUCCCAGAUGGGCAAACCCAUCAGGCCAUUUCUUUCUGGGUGUGCUGGGUAUGAACUAUAUAUGGGGACACCAUCGCAGUGAGCCCUUAGCAGCAGAACCCAUCGGCAGGGGCCUAGACUAGAGCGGUUCUGUUUCCUUGUGGCCAUGCCUGGCUUUCUUAGGUGAGCUCUGGGUUGUAUGUAACUCUGGGACUGGUAGAAAUUUCUUUCUGCAUCUUUAAGUAUCCAGGGGCCUGUUUGAUUGUGGGAGCAUCUGCCAACAUCAUGGAAAUGGAGAAGUGAUUUUGGCAAACAGAAAGUUAUCUUUGAAGGACAAUGGAGGAUAGAAGUGAGUGGUCAAGGGACAGGGCCCAGUGGAAUUGCAGCAAAAAGUCAGUUCGCUCUAAUCAAAUGCCCAAGAAAGCAUUUGAAUGAUUACGAACAGUAAGACGUUGGUGCACAGGGAAGAUGCUCAUGCUUGUUCAAAUAAACCUGACAAAGUUGAAUCAAAUGCUCUUUAAACAGCUCCCUGGUAUAAAAGCAUAGCACAUGUAGCCCAGUAGGGCAAGAUGCACACCCUGUACUCUCCUUCCUGGAGCCUUUCCCUCUGUCCUGUCUUGCUUUUGUUGUUUCCCUGAUUCUACUAUAAAAAAGAAGUGGGGAGUCAAUGGGUUGCUCUGUGCACAUGGAGAAGUACGGCAAACCCUCCUCCUGAGUCAGGCAGGAGCAAUCUGAUUCCUUCACCCCACUCCACCCUAGGGAAAGGUUUGGUGGUGCUGUUCUUGCUCAUAUGGUUGUUUUACUUGUCUUUGUUCUACUCUGCUGGCCAAGUCCAGUUUGCCUUUCCAUGGAGGCAGGGACAGCUGCAGAACUGGCUGCAAUCCACUCUUUGUGCUGCACGAAUUCUGGCAUUUGGAAGCAGAUGGCUAAAAUCAACAGCAGGGAAU
Molecule: long non-coding RNA, 2053 nt
Organism: Alligator mississippiensis (American alligator)
Lineage: Eukaryota; Metazoa; Chordata; Crocodylia; Alligatoridae
Exons: 3
Source: RefSeq, a predicted model, not a curated record